Molecule: ribosomal RNA, 439 nt
Filed under: uncultured bacterium
Lineage: Bacteria
Description: partial 16S ribosomal RNA
Rfam family: Bacterial small subunit ribosomal RNA
Source: RNAcentral
CUACGGGCGGCAGCAGUGGGGAAUUUUGCGCAAUGGGGGAAACCCUGACGCAGCAAUACCGCGUGAGUGAAGAAGGCCUUUGGGUCGUAAAGCUCUUUUCUUGGGGAAGAUAGUGACGGUACCCAAGGAAUAAGCACCGGCUAACUCCGUGCCAGCAGCCGCGGUAAUACGGAGGGUGCAAGCGUUGUUCGGAUUUACUGGGCGUAAAGGGCACGUAGGCGGCACAGCAAGUUAAGGGUGAAAUCCCGGGGCUCAACUCCGGAACUGCUCUUAAAACUGCUGAGCUAGAGAUAGUCAGAGGCGGGUGGAAUUCCAGGUGUAGAGGUGAAAUUCGUAGAUAUCUGGAGGAACACCGGUGGCGAAGGCGGCCCGCUGGGGCUAUUCUGACGCUAAGGUGCGAAAGCGUGGGGAGCAAACGGGAUUAGAUACCCUGGUAGUC